RNAcentral lists this ribosomal RNA (492 nucleotides) under uncultured bacterium. Its description in RNAcentral is "partial 16S ribosomal RNA". It matches the Rfam family "Bacterial small subunit ribosomal RNA", at positions 29 to 507 of the family's 1533-position model. The record is from RNAcentral.
AGUGAACGCUGGCGGCAGGCCUAACACAUGCAAGUCGAACGGCAGCACAGUAAGAGCUUGCUCUUACGGGUGGCGAGUGGCGGACGGGUGAGGAAUACAUCGGAAUCUACUUUUUCGUGGGGGAUAACGUAGGGACACUUACGCUAAUACCGCAUACGACCUACGGGUGAAAGCAGGGGAUCUUCGGACCUUGCGUGAUUGAAUGAGCUGAUGUCGGAUUAGCUAGUUGGCGGGGUAAAGGCCCACCAAGGCGACGAUCCGUAGCUGGUCUGAGAGGAUGAUCAGCCACACUGGAACUGAGACACGGUCCAGACUCCUACGGGAGGCAGCAGUGGGGAAUAUUGGACAAUGGGCGCAAGCCUGAUCCAGCCAUACCGCGUGGGUGAAGAAGGCCUUCGGGUUGUAAAGCCCUUUUGUUGGGAAAGAAAAGCAGCAGGUUAAUACCCCGCUGUUCUGACGGUACCCAAAGAAUAAGCACCGGCUAACUUCGUG